UUGCAGCGAUUCGGUUGCUGAGCGAGAGGCGAGGUUUUGGUAACUCCGGACUAGUGUCCAGGUGGGGCCAAAGAUGGGCGUGGCGCCCGGGGGCAGGGCCUGCGGAGGCCGAUAGCACUAGGACUGUAGCAGGGUGUGAUCUUCGGACAUCGGUCUGGAGCCGACCUGUCUCAACUGGGACCUCAUUAGGUGCGGCAACCUAUAUGUGCUGGCUUCUUGGCGCUCAUCCUGAAAAGAUACAAAUGUCCACUUCUGGCCAUGAUGAAAUAACAAGGACAAGAUUUUCUCUCCUGCUUGAAACAGCUAAAAGCACUGGACAAAAUAUAUGAAACAUUGAUCUCCAAAAUACUGGACAUCAGAUAACAAAGGACAGUGAACCCUAAGAGACAAGAAAUAGCUGCCCAAACAGACCCGGACUAGAGCCCAGGAGUCUCCGAAUGGGGGCUGUCGAAGCAGCAGGUCAUCGGCCCAGAGUCUGGGGCUGGGAAUCCCCAGCAUUCCCACUGCUGCCACAGAGAGUCAAGAUGGACACAGGCACCCAGGAAAGGAAAAGGACUUGCCUCUCUGAGAACCCAAACGUCUAAGUCAGGCUCACCUUCCCUCCUUCACCUCACCCAGGAGAGCACAGGCAAGGCCACCCACCUUAGGACAACUCCUCUUUGGCAGAAGAGACUUUGGAUCAUUAGUUUGUGCAGCUUUCCUAGCUGCAUUCACAUGAGUAGGUUUUAAAUAUCUGAAUUGUUUCUUUAAACAGCUGGCCCCACCCAUUCGUUGGUACCAGGCGGGCCCCUGCCAAGGCUGAGUCUAGCUUUCAUGUGGCCUGGGAGCCCAGGAGGCUGGGCGGCAGGCUGUGCUGGGUGUACCCAAUUUUUGCCCAGCUGGGCCUGGUGGGGAGGCUUUUGGUGGUGUUGCUAGGCAACCUGGGUAAUUGGAGAGGCCACGGAUUGGGCUUCUGGGCCACAGAGAUUAACAGCCUCCUUCAUCACACUGCAAACCAUCAUUAUGCCCCGUUCCAGAGGCCUGCAGCAAUCUCUGUGGUUAUAGACUGAAAGAGUACUUUUAGCUACAGAAAUUAAGAACCAGCUUUUCAAUAUUAUGGGUUUGUGGCUGAGGUGGUUUUCUUUUUGCUACAUCUCUGAGAAUACACUUGGAAUAAAUAAGCGAACGAUUUAAAAACAAAAAAAAUGCCUUCACAAACCCCCUUUUCCAAAAGUUUUUCUUAUUCCUAAAGCAAAGCAAACUUGCACUCUCUGUGAGGGCAACUAAGGUAGAGACACUGCUUCCUGAGGUCUGUGCAUGCCCACGACAUGUUAAAAGCUUCUUCCUUGGAAUCCCACACAACUGGGGCUGUGGUUCGUGGGGGGGGGGCCAGGGCCUUGGUCCUGAGCAAGGUCUCUCAGCAGAAUAAUUUCUUUGCAUCUCUCCCACUCAACAACAAUCACACUACCCCCCUUCCCAGGCUCCAGCCACUUUCACUUAUACUAUUUCAAUGGAUCCUCCCUAUGAGGAUGAUGUCAUUACUAGGCCCAUUCUAUAGAUGAACAACUAAAGCAAAAGAGGCACCCAUGAUCGUAUACCUACCUAGUCACACCAAAGCUGAGACCCAAACCCAUUUUUCUGAGGCUAGAUGGGCUCUCCACUAUCCACACUGCUUCCCCCAGCGCUACCUAAGAGAGGACAUAUAACUUUGUACCUUAUUACAAUAUAAGUAAUAGUAAUAACAAUACACACAGGCAUAGAGACACAAGAACUUCAUCUUGUGUCUCCUACUAUCCUCCACACAUCAUCCUUGCUGACUGUGGUCAGGCUUCCAAAGCUGCCUCAUGUACACUAAGGAAUAUAGUCUGGAAGAUUUCCCAGAGAUGGACACCCUAUUUAAGUAGGUUAACCAAGUCUACCACAGUACAGAGCUGAAGGAAAACACUGACCCUGAGCCAUCUCUGCCUUCAUUCGAGGAGUUGACUCUGUUUGACAGCAUUUCGAUAGUACGCUGUCAGUCCCCUAAGUAAGGAGGCAGAAGCAUUGCUCUCAUUAGAUAUUUGUAGUUAUUCUUCAAAAGGGCUUUCACCGCCUCUUCUACAAUGUUUCUUGAAUAGUGGUCCAUCGAGAGUGACCAACUGUGAGAGUUUGCACAGGACUAGGGAUUUCUUGAGAUGUGGGACUUGGGGUGCUAAAAUCAGGACAGUCCCGGGCAAACUGAGGACAGUCACCUCUCAUAGACCACCUACAUCAAAUGAUCUAAGAAGACUGUAAAAAAAUAUUGACGUCUGGGCUCAUGAGCCCAGCUCAUCCACCAAUGGCAUCAGAGCCUCUGGAGCUAGGGCCUGAAUACUGGUAUAUUUUAAUGUGUAGCCCAGACUAAAAACCCCUACCCUAGAGAUCUGGAUUCAGAGGGUCUGGGCUGGGGUCUUGCCCAGGAAUCUGCAUGCCUUUUUGACAGCUCUUCAGCGGAUUCGUAUGUAUACUGUGGUUUGAUAAGCAAUGAAUUCUUAUGUUAUGUAUGCAUUCACUGGACAAGCAUUCCCUGAACGUCUUCUAUAUGUUGGGCUCUGGAAACGUAAGAAAAAAACAAACAAAAAAAACACCUCCUAUUCCUAGGUCCUCCCUAUCCGGUGAGGAAUAAAGAUCUAUAAAUUGUCCCAGCACAGUAUACUAUGGUUUAGAUUUAUAAGUGACUCAGCACCAUCAGGGUGAUUAUGGUUAAUCAGUUCCCAGAAGCUUCAUGUGACAGAUUAAAGAUGGAGUAUAUUAUUUGCCAUUCCUCCCACUAAGAGGUGGGGUUCGUUUCUCCUGCCCUUGAAUCUGGGCUAGCCCUGUGACAGGUUUUGACCAGUAAUAUGUGGCAGAAGUAGUACAUCCCAAGGCCAGGCCCUAAGAGAUCUGCAGCCCCACUCUUGUUCUUCUUGGAAGCCUAAGACCAUAAGAAGGUUGACUACUGGGGUGCCUGGCUGGCUCAGUCAGUGGAGCAUGCAACUCUUCAUCU
Non-coding RNA from Leptonychotes weddellii (Weddell seal), 2983 nucleotides. NCBI's taxonomy places the organism in Eukaryota, Metazoa, Chordata, Mammalia, Carnivora, Phocidae. The record is from RefSeq and is a predicted model, not a curated record.